CCUACGGGUGGCAGCAGUAGGGAAUCUUCGGCAAUGGACGAAAGUCUGACCGAGCAACGCCGCGUGAGUGAAGAAGGUUUUCGGAUCGUAAAACUCUGUUGGUAGAGAAGAACGUUGGUGAGAGUGGAAAGCUCAUCAAGUGACGGUAACUACCCAGAAAGGGACGGCUAACUACGUGCCAGCAGCCGCGGUAAUACGUAGGUCCCGAGCGUUGUCCGGAUUUAUUGGGCGUAAAGCGAGCGCAGGUGGUUUAUUAAGUCUGGUGUAAAAGGCAGUGGCUCAACCAUUGUAUGCAUUGGAAGAUGGUAGACUUGAGUGCAGGAGAGGAGAGUGGAAUUCCGAGUGUAGCGGUGAAAUGCGUAGAUAUUCGGAGGAACACCGGUGGCGAAGGCGGCCAACUGGGCUUUAACUGACGCUGAGGCUCGAAAGUGUGGGGAGCAAACAGGAUUAGAUACCCUUGUAGUC
This 465-nucleotide ribosomal RNA is filed under the name uncultured bacterium. Its description in RNAcentral is "partial 16S ribosomal RNA". It matches the Rfam family "Bacterial small subunit ribosomal RNA", at positions 338 to 795 of the family's 1533-position model. The record is from RNAcentral.